GACGAACGCUGGCGGCGUGCUUAACACAUGCAAGUCGAACGGAAAGGCCCUGCUUUUGUGGGGUGCUCGAGUGGCGAACGGGUGAGUAACACGUGAGUAACCUGCCCUUGACUUUGGGAUAACUUCAGGAAACUGGGGCUAAUACCGGAUAGGAGCUCCUGCUGCAUGGUGGGGGUUGGAAAGUUUCGGCGGUGGGGGAUGGACUCGCGGCUUAUCAGCUUGUUGGUGGGGUAGUGGCUUACCAAGGCUUUGACGGGUAGCCGGCCUGAGAGGGUGACCGGGCACAUUGGGACUGAGAUACGGACCAGACUCCUACGGGAGGCAGCAGUGGGGAAUAUUGCACAAUGGGCGGAAGCCUGAUGCAGCAACGCCGCGUGCGGGAUGACGGCCUUCGGGUUGUAAACCGCUUUCGCCUGUGACGAAGCGUGAGUGACGGUAAUGGGUAAAGAAGCACCGGCUAACUACGUG
Molecule: ribosomal RNA, 468 nt
Filed under: uncultured bacterium
Lineage: Bacteria
Description: partial 16S ribosomal RNA
Rfam family: Bacterial small subunit ribosomal RNA
Source: RNAcentral